RNAcentral lists this transfer RNA (65 nucleotides) under Dipodomys ordii (Ord's kangaroo rat). It matches the Rfam family "tRNA". From Rfam's summary of the family: Transfer RNA (tRNA) molecules are approximately 80 nucleotides in length. Their secondary structure includes four short double-helical elements and three loops (D, anti-codon, and T loops). The record is from Rfam by way of RNAcentral. Lineage: Eukaryota; Metazoa; Chordata; Mammalia; Rodentia; Heteromyidae.
GGUGGCUCAGUGGUAGAGCACUUGCCUUGCGUGCAUGAGGUCCUGGGUUCAAUUCCUCAGCACCA